Molecule: ribosomal RNA, 996 nt
Filed under: Bacillus subtilis
Lineage: Bacteria; Bacillati; Bacillota; Bacilli; Caryophanales; Bacillaceae
Description: bacterial SSU rRNA
Rfam family: Bacterial small subunit ribosomal RNA
Source: RNAcentral
UUCCGGCAUUAUUGGGGCGUAAGGGCUCGCAGGCGGUUUCUUAAGUCUGAUGUGAAAGCCCCCGGCUCAACCGGGGAGGGUCAUUGGAAACUGGGGAACUUGAGUGCAGAAGAGGAGAGUGGAAUUCCACGUGUAGCGGUGAAAUGCGUAGAGAUGUGGAGGAACACCAGUGGCGAAGGCGACUCUCUGGUCUGUAACUGACGCUGAGGAGCGAAAGCGUGGGGAGCGAACAGGAUUAGAUACCCUGGUAGUCCACGCCGUAAACGAUGAGUGCUAAGUGUUAGGGGGUUUCCGCCCCUUAGUGCUGCAGCUAACGCAUUAAGCACUCCGCCUGGGGAGUACGGUCGCAAGACUGAAACUCAAAGGAAUUGACGGGGGCCCGCACAAGCGGUGGAGCAUGUGGUUUAAUUCGAAGCAACGCGAAGAACCUUACCAGGUCUUGACAUCCUCUGACAAUCCUAGAGAUAGGACGUCCCCUUCGGGGGCAGAGUGACAGGUGGUGCAUGGUUGUCGUCAGCUCGUGUCGUGAGAUGUUGGGUUAAGUCCCGCAACGAGCGCAACCCUUGAUCUUAGUUGCCAGCAUUCAGUUGGGCACUCUAAGGUGACUGCCGGUGACAAACCGGAGGAAGGUGGGGAUGACGUCAAAUCAUCAUGCCCCUUAUGACCUGGGCUACACACGUGCUACAAUGGACAGAACAAAGGGCAGCGAAACCGCGAGGUUAAGCCAAUCCCACAAAUCUGUUCUCAGUUCGGAUCGCAGUCUGCAACUCGACUGCGUGAAGCUGGAAUCGCUAGUAAUCGCGGAUCACCAUGCCGCGGGUGAAUACGUUCCCGGGCCUUGUACACACCGCCCGUCACACCACGAGAGUUUGUAACACCCGAAGUCGGUGAGGUAACCUUUUAGGAGCCAGCCGCCGAAGGUGGGACAGAUGAUUGGGGUGAAUCUACAAGAAAAAACCCCACAUAUAAAAAAGGUGGUUAAGGGGGCCCGGGGUU